RNAcentral lists this long non-coding RNA (1105 nucleotides) under Canis lupus familiaris (dog). RNAcentral describes it as "lncRNA (ENSCAFG00845008348.1)". The record is from RNAcentral. Lineage: Eukaryota; Metazoa; Chordata; Mammalia; Carnivora; Canidae.
GGACUGAGAUGACCAGGCUUGCCUCAUGGCAUCAGUACUAAGUGCCUUCUGUGGGCCAGAUACUGGACCAGUCAGGCAAAUCACUGUAGGGCACUCUUGCCAGCCCUUAGAAAAGGUGAAAUGCAGUGCUUGUUCUAGGCUGUACCAUUUCUUCUAGACACCUCAUUGGGCCAGGAUACAGCAAUAAUGUUUGAGGAUAAAGUUGGGUACUGCCUCUUCCUCUGCCUCCCAUGACCUAAGGGAAGAAAGACCUUGGAAAGCUGAAGAGGAAGUCUAAAUUUGAUUCAUUUGCCUACCUGUAUCUACUAUGAGCUAGGUGCUUUUAUGUACAUCAGGACCUAAUCCCUUUUUAAAAGGCAAAGACAGGGACGCCUGGGUGACUCAGCGGUUGAGCAUCUGCCACCUUGGGCUCAGGACAUGAUCCUGGAGUUCCAGGAUCGAGUCCCACGUCAGGCUCCUGCAUGGAGCCUGCUUCUCCCUCUGUGUCUCUGCCUCUCUCUGUGUCUCUUAGGAAUAAAUAAAUACAAUCUUUAAAAAAUAAAAUGCAAAGACAAAAGUUCAGAGAGGUGAAGUGAUUUUCUCAAUGUACCACAGCUAGUGACAAAGCUAGGAUUAAUUUUUCAAUUUCUCUGGCUCUACUGCCAGAGAAAAAAUUUCAUCACUUGGCGAUAACUGCAGGAAGAUACUUAAAGUUACAACAGCUGGGAUUUGAACUCAGGUUCAAGUCAGGGUUUCUACAAGACUGAAUCUUUCCUAGAACAGUAUAUUUCUAAGUUCCUGCAUAACAACGUACACCAGCCCACCGCUGUGAAUAAAUUUUAAAGGCUGCAUCAUUUGAUCAAGACUCAAAGUCCUGCCUGGGAGUGCCCAUUUGUCCAAGCCUAGGUUGUCAUCCCAAAUUUCACAUGCCAAGGAGUAAAGAGAAGGAGGAGAGCUCAUUUUAGCUUCUCAGUGGGAAGUGUAUUGACGUCCACAAAAAUGCACUCAAUUGGGAAUUUCCCCAAAGUAGGAGACAAAGAAAUAGAAAGCUCCUCUAUAACCUCUUUGGGUACUCAAAAUCCACACAUGUCCUUUUCCACACUUAAUCUCCCGUUGCCCCUCAUCC